This 74-nucleotide transfer RNA is filed under the name candidate division WWE3 bacterium CG_4_9_14_0_2_um_filter_35_11. Its description in RNAcentral is "tRNA-Gln". It matches the Rfam family "tRNA". Rfam says of the family: Transfer RNA (tRNA) molecules are approximately 80 nucleotides in length. RNAcentral also lists the same sequence under 1 other name. Lineage: Bacteria; candidate division WWE3. The record is from RNAcentral.
UGCCCGGUCAUCUAAUGGUAGGAUUUGCGACUCUGAAUCGCAAUAUCUUGGUUCGAAUCCAAGCUGGGCAGCCA